This 445-nucleotide ribosomal RNA is filed under the name uncultured organism. Its description in RNAcentral is "partial 16S ribosomal RNA". It matches the Rfam family "Bacterial small subunit ribosomal RNA", at positions 335 to 797 of the family's 1533-position model. The record is from RNAcentral.
ACUCCUGCGGGAGGCAGCAGUGGGGAAUAUUGGACAAUGGGCGCAAGCCUGAUCCAGCCAUGCCGCGUGAGUGAUGAAGGCCCUAGGGUUGUAAAGCUCUUUCACCGGUGAAGAUAAUGACGGUAACCGGAGAAGAAGCCCCGGCUAACUUCGUGCCAGCAGCCGCGGUAAUACGAAGGGGGCUAGCGUUGUUCGGAUUUACUGGGCGUAAAGCGCACGUAGGCGGACUAUUAAGUCAGGGGUGAAAUCCCGGGGCUCAACCCCGGAACUGCCUUUGAUACUGGUAGUCUUGAGUUCGAGAGAGGUGAGUGGAAUUCCGAGUGUAGAGGUGAAAUUCGUAGAUAUUCGGAGGAACACCAGUGGCGAAGGCGGCUCACUGGCUCGAUACUGACGCUGAGGUGCGAAAGCGUGGGGAGCAAACAGGAUUAGAAACCCUAGUAUCCCA